AGCUGGGCAGGCAGGCUAAACAUGCAAGUCGAGCGGUAGCACAGAGAGCUUGCUCUCGGGUGACGAGCGGCGGACGGGUGAGUAAUGUCUGGGAAACUGCCUGAUGGAGGGGGAUAACUACUGGAAACGGUAGCUAAUACCGCAUAACGUCGCAAGACCAAAGAGGGGGACCUUCGGGCCUCUUGCCAUCAGAUGUGCCCAGAUGGGAUUAGCUAGUAGGUGGGGUAACGGCUCACCUAGGCGACGAUCCCUAGCUGGUCUGAGAGGAUGACCAGCCACACUGGAACUGAGACACGGUCCAGACUCCUACGGGAGGCAGCAGUGGGGAAUAUUGCACAAUGGGCGCAAGCCUGAUGCAGCCAUGCCGCGUGUAUGAAGAAGGCCUUCGGGUUGUAAAGUACUUUCAGCGGGGAGGAAGGUGCUGAGGUUAAUAACCUCAGCAAUUGACGUUACCCGCAGAAGAAGCACCGGCUAACUCCGUGCCAGCAGCCGCGGUAAUACGGAGGGUGCAAGCGUUAAUCGGAAUUACUGGGCGUAAAGCGCACGCAGGCGGUCUGUCAAGUCGGAUGUGAAAUCCCCGGGCUCAACCUGGGAACUGCAUUCGAAACUGGCAGGCUAGAGUCUUGUAGAGGGGGGUAGAAUUCCAGGUGUAGCGGUGAAAUGCGUAGAGAUCUGGAGGAAUACCGGUGGCGAAGGCGGCCCCCUGGACAAAGACUGACGCUCAGGUGCGAAAGCGUGGGGAGCAAACAGGAUUAGAUACCCUGGUAGUCCACGCCGUAACGAUGUCGACUUGGAGGUUGUGCCCUUGAGGCGUGGCUUCCGGAGCUAACGCGUUAAGUCGACCGCCUGGGGAGUACGGCCGCAAGGUUAAAACUCAAAUGAAUUGACGGGGGCCCGCACAAGCGGUGGAGCAUGUGGUUUAAUUCGAUGCAACGCGAAGAACCUUACCUACUCUUGACAUCCAGAGAACUUUGCAGAGAUGCAUUGGUGCCUUCGGGAACUCUGAGACAGUGCUGCAUGGCUGUCGUCAGCUCGUGUUGUGAAAUGUUGGUUAAGUCCCGCAACGAGCGCAACCCUUAUCCUUUGUGCCAGCGGGUCCGGCCGGGGACUCAAAAGAAGACUGCCCAGUGAUAAACCUGGG
RNAcentral lists this ribosomal RNA (1141 nucleotides) under Enterobacter asburiae. RNAcentral describes it as "bacterial SSU rRNA". It matches the Rfam family "Bacterial small subunit ribosomal RNA", at positions 34 to 1166 of the family's 1533-position model. The record is from RNAcentral. Lineage: Bacteria; Pseudomonadati; Pseudomonadota; Gammaproteobacteria; Enterobacterales; Enterobacteriaceae.